AUUGAACGCUGGCGGCAUGCUUUACACAUGCAAGUCGAGCGGUAACAGGCCUUCGGGUGCUGACGAGUGGCGAACGGGUGAGUAAUGCAUCGGAACGUACCCAGAGGUGGGGGAUAACGCAGCGAAAGCUGUGCUAAUACCGCAUGUGAUCUGAGGAUGAAAGCGGGGGACCGAGCAGCAAUGUUUGGCCUCGCGCCUUUGGAGCGGCCGAUGUCGGAUUAGCUAGUUGGUGGGGUAAAGGCCUACCAAGGCGACGAUCCGUAGCUGGUCUGAGAGGACGACCAGCCACACUGGGACUGAGACACGGCCCAGACUCCUACGGGAGGCAGCAGUGGGGAAUUUUGGACAAUGGGCGCAAGCCUGACCCAGCAAUGCCGCGUGCGGGAAGAAGGCCUUCGGGUUGUAAACCGCUUUUGGCAGGAACGAAACGGUGUCCGCUAAUACCGGGCGCUAAUGACGGUACCUGCAGAAUAAGCACCGGCUAACUACGUG
This 492-nucleotide ribosomal RNA is filed under the name uncultured bacterium. RNAcentral describes it as "partial 16S ribosomal RNA". It matches the Rfam family "Bacterial small subunit ribosomal RNA", at positions 29 to 507 of the family's 1533-position model. The record is from RNAcentral.